RNAcentral lists this ribosomal RNA (274 nucleotides) under uncultured bacterium. RNAcentral's name for it is "partial 16S ribosomal RNA". It matches the Rfam family "Bacterial small subunit ribosomal RNA", at positions 523 to 796 of the family's 1533-position model. The record is from RNAcentral.
AUACGUAGGGUGCGAGCGUUAAUCGGAAUUACUGGGCGUAAAGCGUGCGCAGGCGGCUUUAUAAGCCAGAUGUGAAAUCCCCGGGCUCAACCUGGGAACUGCAUUUGGAACUGUAAGGCUAGAGUACGUCAGAGGGGGGUAGAAUUCCACGUGUAGCAGUGAAAUGCGUAGAUAUGUGGCGGAAUACCGAUGGCGAAGGCAGCCCCCUGGGUCGAUACUGACGCUCAUGCACGAAAGCGUGGGGAGCAAACAGGAUUAGAAACCCUAGUAGUCC